GAUGAACGCUGGCGGCGUGCCUAAUACAUGCAAGUCGAGCGGACAGACGAGGAUCUUGCGCCGUGGACGUUAGCGGAGGACGGGUGUAACACACGAGUAUAACCUACUUGUAAGACUGAGAUCACUUCGGGACACCGGAUCUUAUACCGGAGAAUCUUUCGAAGCGCGUGGGUCGAUAGUGAAAGACGGCUCUGCUGGCUCUACUCGAUGCAUCUGCGCCGUAUUGGCUAGUUGUGAAGGUCACGGCUUACCAAGGCAAGGAUGCGUAGCCGACCUGAGAGGGUGAUCGGCCACCCUGGAACUGGGACACGGUCCAGACUCCUAAGGGAGGCAGCAGUAGGGAAUCGUCCGCAAUGGGCGAAAGCCUGACGGAGCAACGCCGAGUGAGUGAUGAAGGUCUUCGGAUCGUAAAACUCUGUUAUUAGGGAUGAACAAACGUGUAAGUAACUGUGCACGUCUUGACGGUACCUAAUCAGAAAGCCACGGCUAACUACGUG
RNAcentral lists this ribosomal RNA (497 nucleotides) under uncultured bacterium. RNAcentral describes it as "partial 16S ribosomal RNA". It matches the Rfam family "Bacterial small subunit ribosomal RNA", at positions 28 to 507 of the family's 1533-position model. The record is from RNAcentral.